UUCAGCCCAGGAAAAACAAGAAACUCUCAAGAAUUAACCUACUUAAAUAAAUCAACAUAAGGAGCUAUGCUAAAAUCCACACCAUCUUCCAGAGUCAAUGGCUGAAGUGAACAUCUCCUAUGUCAGUGAAUUCAUUCUAAAGGGGAUCACAGACAGGCCAGAACUCCAAGCCCCAUGUUUUGUGAUGUUUUUGACAAUCUAUCUAGUCACAGUUUUAGGCAACCUUGGGUUGAUUGUCAUAAUCAGGGUUGACUCUCGACUCCACACACCUAUGUACUUCUUUCUCAGUCACCUAGCCUUUGUUGAUCUCUGUUACUCAUCUGCUAUCACACCAAAGAUGAUGGUGAACUUUGUGGUAGAGCGCAACACUAUCCCUUUCCAUGCUUGUGCAACACAGCUGGGCUGUUUUCUUACCUUCAUGAUUACAGAGUGUUUCCUUCUGGCCUCUAUGGCCUAUGAUCGCUAUGUGGCCAUCUGCAGCCCCCUGCAUUAUUCAACACUGAUGUCAAAGAGAGUGUGCAUUCAAUUAGUGGCCGUUCCUUAUGUGUACAGCUUUCUAGUUGCCCUUUUCCAUACAAUCAUCACCUUUCGCUUGACAUAUUGUGGACCUAAUGUAAUCAACCAUUUCUACUGUGAUGACCUUCCCCUCUUAGCUCUGUCCUGCUCAGACACGCACAUGAAGGAAAUUCUCAUAUUUGCUUUUGCUGGCUUUGAUAUGAUCUGCUCCUCUUCCAUAGUUCUCACCUCCUACCUCUUUAUCAUUGCUGCCAUCCUGAGAAUCCGCUCUACCCAGGGAAGACGCAAGGCCAUCUCUACCUGCGGCUCCCACAUGGUAGCUGUUACUAUUUUUUAUGGUACGCUCAUCUUCAUGUAUCUACAGCCCAAAUCCAACCAUUCCCUGGACACAGACAAAAUGGCUUCAGUGUUUUACACAGGUGAUCCCCAUGUUGAACCCCCUCAUCUACAGUCUUAGGAACAAAGAGGUGAAAGAUGCCUCUAAGAAAGCUUUGGAUAAAGGGUAUGAAACCUUAAAAAUAUUAAGAUUAAGUAAAUAAUGACAUCAUUUAUUAUGUAUGAGCAGGGAAGUAAACCCAAACUUUUAAAUGUAAUUUAUUCCCAAGCAGUUGAAAAAUGCCUCUCUUACUUUAACAGUCUUAAAUGUUUUCUGUGAGUUUACAAGUAGAUCAUGGGAACACAAUAUAAUAAAUCU
This is an RNA transcript of Mus musculus (house mouse), 1210 nucleotides long. It is a transcript of the gene named olfactory receptor family 8 subfamily U member 3, transcript variant 1, non-coding, with no coding region annotated. The transcript is spliced from 2 exons. Lineage: Eukaryota; Metazoa; Chordata; Mammalia; Rodentia; Muridae. The record is from RefSeq and is marked validated.